CAGUAGAGAGCCCAAUGCAGGGCUCAAACCCACUAACUGUGAGAUCAUGACCUGAACCAAAACCAAGAGUUGGAUGCUUAACCAACUGAGCCACCCAGGAGCCCCAACAAAGUGCUGUUUUUUAGAUGCAAAUUUACAGUCUGAAGGGAACAGAGAAGUAAACAUUUUCUUGUGCACUGGAAGUACCUGAGAAAAAACUUUUUUGUGUAUCAUUGUUUUGCCUUAGUAACAACUCCAAAGAGUGAUACGUGAAUUGAGCUUACACUAACCACUUAGUCAACUGAAAACCAGAUUUUCAAGGAAUAACUAAUUAGGGACUUCUCUUCCACCAGAUUUUCAAGGAAUAACUAAUUAGGCACUUCUCUUCCUACAUAGUAUAUUUGCUAGAAAAUAACAUAUAAUUACCUUGAAAUACUUAAAUAAUUGGGUAGCAUCCUCACAUCCUUCAAGAUUUUGUUCAAAUGGCACCUUCUCAAGAGACUCACUCUGAUUAUUCUAUUCAGUACUGUAAUUGCCCUUCUCCUGAACCAUCAUACCCCAAUCUGGUUUCUCCGCCAUAAAAAUUAUUACCUUCUAGCAUACUUUAUUUUUUUUCAUUUAUUUUGUUUACUGUUUACUGUCUAUUUUUCUCCCUCCAGAAUACAAGAGGGCAGAGAUUUCUAACCUGCCUUGGUGUAUCUCAAGGGCCCCUAGAACAGGGGCUGUCACAAGGCAAACCAAUUCAAUAAAGCAGAUUUUUCCCCCUUGAACUGGAAGUAUGGACUCAGCUUGACCCUUUUGAUCUUCCUUGUUUCCUGCCCAAUUUAGGUGAUCUCAGAGGAUUUGCAAAGGAUUUGGAAACCACUCCAACAACCACUGAUGAUCUGGACUUUCCUUUAAAAUUCCUGUAACAACCAGUCUUAAAGUAAUGUUUCUUUAAGAAAAGGGUAGUAAUUCAUCUUUGUAUAUCUUUGUGUAUAUAUAGGUAACAGGAAGAGGCUCCUGGAAAUUUGGCUUCUAAAUAGCAUUAUUCAUUGUGACUGUCAGGAAGUGCUUUUUGGCAGUUUGUGAGAGGGAAAGUUCCAAAGAAUGAGGGAGAUCCACUUGUUCAGAUAGCUUAACUUAUGCUUCUAACAUUAAAAGAAAUAUUCGUUCUUCUCAGGUCCUCAAAUAGCUCUGUAUACCCAAAAGACCUUUGACUUCCCCCAGCCGAGGAAUAAGUGAUCAUAUGUUCAACUAGAUGAUUUAUUAAGUAGUUCAGGUCUUCAGCCAGCUGUCCUAAGCCAAGGAAUUUGCACUGAAGAAUUACAGUGUUUGGAAAUCACUGAAUUAAAAAGCAAAAACAAAACUGCAGUGCCUAAGGUCAUAUUUCCCUUAAAAUUAGUGUCUUAUUGCUUGUCCUUUUGGUAGAGAGAGAGAGAGAGAGAGGGAGAGAGAGAGAAUGGUUUCAUUCAAUUUCAGUCAUAUAUUACUAAAAGCACCAAUGAGAUUCUUCUUUAUGUGGGACUCUUAUACAUGGUAUAAAGCUAUAACUUUUCAGAAUGGAUGUUUUCAAGGUUUGCGACAGUAAGGAAUAUAAACAAGGCAAUAACAGUUGCCAUUUUUCAAGACAUCUCUUUACACAUUCAAAUUAUAUCUUAUACAAAAUGUGUAUUCUACUAAGUGCAGUUUUCCCUUUUCUGCUUGACUUUUUUGCCUAUGAAUUGCUGUGUGCCUAUGACCACAGGAUAGCUCACUCAGAAUAGUAGCAGCUGAAGUAAUCUCCAGUAAUUGUUAGUCUUUACUUUCCACCAAGUAAUGUGCAGGGAUGCUGCCAGAGUUGUGAACCGAGAGCAGGGUUCCCUUUCAUCUUAAAUAACUUUUUUUAUUACAUAGCUCAGAUAUAGACCAGAAAAUUUGACUACUAAGACAAAUGGUAAUUGAGGAAAUUAAAACAACUCAUAUGUUAUAUGAAGUUUCUAAGCAAUAUUUUAUUUUUUGGCCUGAAUUACCUGGUCAACUGACCCAGUUCUCCAUUUCAUUUUCUAGACUUGGCAGUCUAAAGUCAGUAGACAUUUGGAGAAAAUUAAAUUACUCCAUUCAAGGAGACAAUCAAAUUUAGAUUGGACUACACUACUGCCAGAGGGAUGAAAAUCCCUAAAUUGGUCAGUUGUGAUUUUCGUUCACAGGGAAAUCCUCAUUCACAAGCUAACCAUAGAAUUUUUGCAGAUAGCUAGUGACAACAUUUGCCAGAAAUCUUCUGUUAAACUUAGGGAAAAGCUAUUUUUGAGGCUAUGUCAACCUAAAAGAAUUAUGUGAUGGCUUGUUAUGACUGUCUUUGUAGUGAUUAUUUGUUGAGAUAAAAGAAUGCAGUUAUCUGACUGACAGUCAGCAGGGCAUCCAUUUUGAAUUGCUUCCCUAGGAGAGCAGUUGGAUUUGCACUGACCUGUAUGUACUUGCUGUGACCAGUGGUAUUCUUUGUGAGAGGACUGAAUGAAGUUAGGAGUCAUUCAUUGUGUUGGGAAGGGAGAGAAGCUGACUGAUCCAAAAGAAAGCCAGAAUUUUAACUGAUGCAUGUGAGGACAAUUUGAUUUGGCACUUGCCCUCUUAUUGUUUAUAAAGAGUAAUGUCGUGACCUA
Molecule: long non-coding RNA, 2597 nt
Organism: Felis catus (domestic cat)
Lineage: Eukaryota; Metazoa; Chordata; Mammalia; Carnivora; Felidae
Exons: 2
Source: RefSeq, a predicted model, not a curated record